UCUUACGUCUUGCGACUAAUUAAAGUUUGUUGAAUAAUUAUUUAGUUAAAUAGUGAAUAAGUUAAAUCACGAUUUAUGAGGCCCGUCCGAUUGAAAGGCGAUACGGGUCGUGCGAAGAAUAAGUAACCUAAAAUCGCUUCUAAAUGGGAUUUCCAAGCGAGUUUUCGUCAAGGCCACGACCGGCUCGAUACAUCUACCAUCUGCGGCUGCUGCGGGUGGAGCAUACAACCUGCAGUGGAUGUCCAGCAUGUUACAGUAGCUGCUGUAGUAAAUAGAAUCUUUGGCUUUGCAUCGGACAGUUUGGCGUUGCAGCAGCACCCCGUUAUUUAUCCAGGUGAAAGCUCACAUAAACUGUUGCGCCGCGAAUGAGUUGCUCACUUUUAAACAAACGGUGCAGUCUGGACCGAUUCUUCGAUGUGAAAAAACAAGAGGAGUUAGCCUGCCUCUCCUUAUGGGAAUGGGACUGCAGUGCUAAACUCCCGGAAAUAAACCGAAAAAAGCGACUGACAUAUCUUGGUUUAGUAGGCUAUGGUAUGGCCGGAAUCUACGUUGACGAUGCGUAUUCUAGCGAAAUUUAUCGGAAACAUUAUUUCAAAACCGUUUGGCAAAGACAUCUCUCGGAAUAGUAGAAACUAGGAUAUGACCGGUAGCGCAAACUCUGUUGAGAACCGGGCGAGCAUACGAAAAAUAAAUGGGAACAGUGACAUCUGGAUCGCAAGAGUAAGCCAUCAGCAGGGUCUAUACGAUCGUACACGGCCAAUACAUCAACCACCACCAGCUAAAUGGAUUCGGCAUUCUCCAACCUACGAGCGAGGGGCGGAUCACUCACGCAUUUUCGAAG
Molecule: long non-coding RNA, 841 nt
Organism: Armigeres subalbatus
Lineage: Eukaryota; Metazoa; Arthropoda; Insecta; Diptera; Culicidae
Exons: 3
Source: RefSeq, a predicted model, not a curated record